Long non-coding RNA from Homalodisca vitripennis (glassy-winged sharpshooter), 890 nucleotides. RefSeq lists it as uncharacterized. Lineage: Eukaryota; Metazoa; Arthropoda; Insecta; Hemiptera; Cicadellidae. The record is from RefSeq and is a predicted model, not a curated record. The transcript has 2 exons.
UUUCAAAACGCGAUGUUCACUACUCACAAACCGCGGUUUGUCUGGCGUUUCCCCGUAUUAUAAAAGGAUUGACACCAACAAUACCAUCGCAAAUUGCAGUCCGAGUCCAUUUUAGACGAGCUACGAUGAUAACGUGUAAGGAACCACUUAUCGACCUGUCUCUAUUUUUCCAACUGUGAGAUAAAAAUUCAAAAUCUUUUAUUGCCAAUAAUACUUUUUUUAGCAAAAGCACGACUAGCUUUUUGAAAACCAAUUUGGCUUCAGAACGUGAAAAUUUAAAAAAGAGAAGCAGUGGUGAGUCUGGUCAAAGGGAUUAGAGUGUCAGAAUCCCACCAUACACGUCUUAAGACAAGUACUGCUCAAGUCAGCUACAGAUGGAUUACGGUGUGAUGUAAGCAUACCUUUCCUACGGAGAGAUUUUGUGGAGAGCAUUUUGUAGAAAACACAACCAAAUUUUGAGUUUUCAAGCUUAAACAAAAGUAAUCAGAAAAUAGUCAACAUCAACUUCAGAGGGUCGUGCCAACUAGGUUUAAAAAAAUUGCAUCUGUUGACUCGAUCAUGUCUAUACAUUUUGGAAGCAGGUUUAUUCUGCAUAUCAAAAUGUGGCCUGACUAGAGGCCGAGACGUACAUAGACCAUCCUACAUAGUAGGAUCUAAGACAUUUUAUAGCAUCCAUAAGUUUUUAGAUUAUAGUUGGGAAAUCUAAAAUAUAGGUGGAGAGAUUUGGUGAAUAAGCAGUAUGCAUCAAUGAUAAGAUUGUAUGUCUGAAGGUAGUACUGUGAACGUAUGUAAAAAUGUAUAGGUUCAUCCGGUUUGAAUUUUGCCAUAUAUCUGUUACGUUUCCAUGGAAUUUGACUUUGACUUUUGAAUUGUUAAAAGUUUUAAGGCAA